RNAcentral lists this ribosomal RNA (453 nucleotides) under uncultured bacterium. Its description in RNAcentral is "bacterial SSU rRNA". It matches the Rfam family "Bacterial small subunit ribosomal RNA", at positions 8 to 507 of the family's 1533-position model. The record is from RNAcentral.
AGAGUUUGAUCAUGGCUCAGAACGAACGCUGGCGGCAGGCCUAACACAUGCAAGUCGAGCGCCCCAGCAAUGGGGAGCGGCAGACGGGUGAGUAACGCGUGGGUAUCUACCUAGUGGUGCGGAAUAGCCCAGGGAAACUUGGAGUAAUACCGCAUAAGCCCGAAAGGGGAAAGAUUUAUCGCCAUUAGAUGAGCCCGCGUUGGAUUAGCUAGUUGGUGGGGUAACGGCCCACCAAGGCGACGAUCCAUAGCUGGUCUGAGAGGAUGAUCAGCCACACUGGGACUGAGACACGGCCCAGACUCCUACGGGAGGCAGCAGUGGGGAAUAUUGGACAAUGGGCGCAAGCCUGAUCCAGCCAUGCCGCGUGAGUGACGAAGGUCUUCGGAUUGUAAAGCUCUUUUGGCGGGGACGAUAAUGACGGUACCCGCAGAAUAAGCCCCGGCUAACUUCGUG